GCUUUCAUAGCUCAAUUGGUAGAGCAUCUGAUUUGUAAUCAGGCGGUUGUGGGUUCGAUUCCCUCUGAAAGCU
This 73-nucleotide transfer RNA is filed under the name Lachnospiraceae bacterium NE2001. It matches the Rfam family "tRNA". Rfam says of the family: Transfer RNA (tRNA) molecules are approximately 80 nucleotides in length. The record is from Rfam by way of RNAcentral. Lineage: Bacteria; Bacillati; Bacillota; Clostridia; Lachnospirales; Lachnospiraceae.